Long non-coding RNA from Anguilla anguilla (European eel), 4040 nucleotides. RefSeq lists it as uncharacterized. The record is from RefSeq and is a predicted model, not a curated record. The transcript has 2 exons. NCBI's taxonomy places the organism in Eukaryota, Metazoa, Chordata, Actinopteri, Anguilliformes, Anguillidae.
CUCUCUCUCUCUCUCUCUCUCAGAGAGUGGAAAUGCCUAAAGCACAGACUGGUUUUGUUGCUGCCCAGUAGGGGGCAGUCUCAUGUUCCAGCUUAUAACCCACUACCCUGAGGGUGAGGGGCAAGGCUGUAGCUGUGGGAGGAGUCAAAAGGAAUGGUUGAAGCCGGGAGUCGCCUCGCAGCAACCACACCCCCCCCCCCCCCCCCCCCCCAAUCUCCAAUUGUAAAGACCCCACCCCCCUGGUCCCUACUGAUUGCUGGCCCCCAGGGGCCCCAUUCUCUUCAAAAGACUUCUUCUGUUUUUUUUACAAGUUGAACGUGGACUAGUAUCAGCAAGAUCACGGUCUCAUGAAUGACUGAAAUACGACAUUACAAACAAAUCAAUUUCAAUACCCAGAGAUUUGACUCUGGAUAUUCUAAUUUGACACAAUGUCACAUAGCCGCACACACACACAUACUCACACAAUAUGCACAUAUAGCAACACCAGGGUGUCACACACAUGCACACACUCUUGUCGUUACAGUCACACCCUACAAACUGAGACCUGUUGACCUUCAGCUUAUGUAUAAUAAGAAAACAUACUAUAUCGCAUUCAGAAACAAUACGCAUAUUAAUACAGUGUUUCUCGGUUCAGAGUCACGUUUUAGUUUAGCGAACGGAAAAUGUCCUCUUGUGAAGUCGGUGUCAGUUCAUCUUAUUUUGUCUUUCGACUCUGUCCCGCUGUUUGAGACUUGGCCCUGUCCGCCCGCUGGGCCGGCGCCGGGGUGCCCAGCCCCCCCGUGCUGCAGCAGAGCGCCGCGCCGCGCUUCUGUUUUUCAGAGCGGAACCUUCCGGAAUCGGGGUGCGGCCGGUUCCGUUCCGCUCCGCUCCGCUCCGGACCAGAAGCGAGAGCUGGGAUUUCGGCUUGAGGUCCACGGAAAAGCCCGGAAAAAGGCCUGCGCCUGCGGACAUCAGCAUGGACUGACACGCGGAAGCUGCUUCUCAAAGAACCGCCUGUGUGUUUCAUUGGGGUUGGUGGGGAGGGGGGGGAGGUGUGUCCCUCAUGGAAUAUUAUGAUCUGAUUGGCCCCUCCCUAGAGGUGCUGGGAUGACAGGCGAAGACAGAAGGGGUUUGGAAAAUGGUGGUGAACGGGUAUGAGUCCCCAGUGCAGCACCCCACAGGAGGAAUCCUCAUGUACAGUAGAUAUAUACUUAAUGUAAAUUUAGCUGAUUUUUCAGCAGCCACUGAUGCUUUGAAAGGCCAACGAACCAUACGGUAUUGUACUCGUUUUGAAUAUAUUUGUUAAACUCUGUUGCAGACACUUUCAUAGCCACACUUACUGUCUUAAUGAAUUAUCUCCAUAAUGCAUUGUAUUAUAAAGAUACAGUCCAUCAGUAUAUAUACAUGUGCCAUGCUGUAUAUAGCAGUCAGUAUUAUAGCACUAAAGGUAUAUUUCAUUGGUUCCUCUGUACGGUUGGAUACAGAAGCCAGGGAUAGAUCUAUCCGUAUAUAAUAGUGCAGCUUUGUCCUAUAUCGGUCCACUGCAAACAUCCUACCAGAUUUCUUGCUUCGGACAAUGUGGACAACGGACAAUUUCCACCUCUUCCUCGCUGUAACUUGUGUUUGGACUCAAAAAAUGGGCACUUAUAUUGUACCUGUUUCUCCCCGUCUUGUCUUUUCUCCCAAUAGGUAUUCAGCAUUUCUUAAAAAAAAGAUGAGAGACUCAAAUGGUCAAUACCUGGAUGAUGGUUAUAACAGUAUGAAAACUAAAAUUACCUUUGGACAACAGUGGUUCAUUUUGAGUUUCUUUUAGAAUUCAAUGAAUGGAGUCAGUGAUGGACCUGAAGUGUGUUUUUGCACAGUAAUCAUAGGCCUGAAAAUGUGUUUUACUGCUACUGUCUGAAAAUGUAAUUCAAAGAAUAUGAGAGUCGUUCCAACAGGAAGGUGUGUGCGUGUGUGUGUGUGUGUGUGUGUGCGUGUGCACGUGUGUGUCUUUGGGGUUGCAGGAAGGAGGAUUGGGAUAAGGAUCCCCUCCAUCUGAAACAAACCAAACCUUUUCAUGGUUGGAAAAGAGGCUCCAUUUAGUUAAACAGCAAUGUGACUAAGGACCCACUCCAGUGACACUGAGGGAUAAUCCACUGCCACACAUAGCAGCCCACGCUCAUCACACCCUGUCGGCUUCUGUGCCAGGAUUGGCUGGGAGGCUGAACGAGCCUGGGCCUGGUCAGCACAUGAGACGGGAACAGGGAGUAUGACACGUCAGGCUGCGGUUGGUCAGGUUUCAGGGAAUCAGAACAUUCACAAGCACUUGCCCCUCAUCCUGAUGCACAUAAUCAGGAUGCUGUUCACUGAUCAUUAGGCAGGCAGUAAAGGCGACUGAACAUUUUCUAAAAUCUGAUGUAAUCAGGCCAUGUUGAGAGAGAGACUUUGAUUUUUUCCAUAGGUUAUCAAUUACAGCCUAGUGUGGCACCUGCACUGGCAGCUCUCCUGGGCAACAACCGGGACUCACUAAAUCUGUGUGUGUUUGAGCAGGAACUGGCUGUGGAGUUCUUUAGUCUGUGGUGUAAUGCUGCCAUGGAUACGACCAUCGAUUAGCUGUCCAUACAAAUAUCUGUGAUGUCACGUGCUAAAUAAAAAACUACAUGCGUCGCUUGGUGAUGGUGCAAACUACUCAGAUUGAUGACAGGAGCAGUGUGGCUAUGUCUCAGUUUGUUCAGUAGCCUACAUGAAAAUAAAGGCUUGAGUGAAUAAAUUGCUUUCCUUUAGCCCCCCACCUCCGACCCCCCAGCAGGGGUUGAGGGUGGUGAAGGGUGGCAGUGUGGUUCACAUCCAGGCGGCCUGCCCCCCAGCCCUCAGUCCAUCCGAGUGAUGAAGACCAGUCCAUCUCUGAGGGGCCGAAAGAUCCCUCUUAAGGGCUGGAAAGGGAUGAUAAGGAGAAAGAAGAUAGAAUGGUGGGGUGGAUCUGAGUUCAUUGAACAGGGCUUGAUCCUCAGUCUCUCCAUAUCUCCCCAGGGGGGAGUAAACGUCUGGUGAUAGCCACAAAGCAUGCAGAUGGAGCAGAAGAAGCCAUAACCAAUCAGUGAGUUGUUGGUUUAAAAGACUAAUUUACAGUAAACAGCUCCAGUAAGGUCAGUGCGAGUGAGAGAGUCCCAGAGAGAGAGGCCCUGGUUACAGCAGCACGUCAGAGCGGACCAGGGGUCCCCAGCGGACGAGCGUCCCUUCCAGUGCAGAGUCUGCACCGCGUCCCCCCAGCCGAGAAACACACGGCCAUUUACGCACAGCCGGGGAAACCGCUGCUCCCGGGGAGACUGAUUUACCCUCGCGGGAAAGUAAAGCACCACAAACCCCAUUAAUCUGGGUGUGGCUAUCACUGUAAGCAUAUACGGCCAACCACAGUUUUUCCAGGGAAGAACGAAGCCGUUUUUAUGGAGAUCGCAGGCACCAAGGCAAGGGGCAGUGCUACCAAUUCUCAUUCGUUUAAACCAAAUCCUCAGAUCUGUUCUAAAAGCUUGUUCUUUUGUUCAAAAUGUUAAAGCUAUUUCAGUGUUGUUUUAUGAGUGUGAUACUUGAAGCAUGAUGAGUGAGGUGUGAGUGUCCGCGUGUCAACAGAUGCGUACAUUAUAUUGGCAACCCUGAACGCAGCAGCACAGUCAGUCGAGUACUCCUACACACACUCCUGGAAAGUGCACGUGCACACACACUUACUCAUACACUUACUCAUCGCCAUUACUGUCAACUAAUGUGACUCAAUCACACCGAAACCUCAAUCAUUUCUGCUUUUCUCUCUUAACAGGUCAGAUUGUGUGUGUAACUGAGCAGGGGCAAUACAGGGUAUAUAAUGGAGAGUUGUACCUGAGGGCUGGGAAGAGUAAUUCAACAUCCUGAGCGUUCUGGGAGUCCAACGAAAGAGUUACAGUAGUUGUCAGACGCCUUUCCCAAAUUCUCUCCUGUAAAUAUGUUGACGUAAACAUGUCGUGACACAUGUCAUUUAGAAAAAAUUCUAAAACUAGAAAUAGUAUAAAGCUUUAGGCUAAAUAAAAGUUUCAAUUAUGUCGACAAUA